Molecule: non-coding RNA, 28 nt
Filed under: Homo sapiens (human)
Lineage: Eukaryota; Metazoa; Chordata; Mammalia; Primates; Hominidae
Source: RNAcentral
UUCCAUAAAAGUGUGAGGUGUGUGGCCC